Molecule: ribosomal RNA, 255 nt
Filed under: uncultured bacterium
Lineage: Bacteria
Description: partial 16S ribosomal RNA
Rfam family: Bacterial small subunit ribosomal RNA
Source: RNAcentral
UACGUAGGGUGCGAGCGUUGUCCGGAAUUAUUGGGCGUAAAGAGCUUGUAGGCGGUUUGUCGCGUCUGCCGUGAAAUUUCGAGGCUCAACCUCGAACUUGCGGUGGGUACGGGCAGACUAGAGUGUGGUAGGGGAGACUGGAAUUCCUGGUGUAGCGGUGGAAUGCGCAGGAGUAUCAGGAAGAACACCCGUGGCGAAGGCGGCUCUCUGGGACGGUACUGACGCUGAGACGCGAAAGCGUGGGGAGCGAACAGG